GUAACACGUAGUCAACCUGCCCUGGAGACAUGGACAACCCCGGGAAACUGGGAUUAAUCCGUGAUAGGUCAUCCCAUCUGGAAGGAGGGAUGGCUUAAAGGGGCGCGCGGGCUUCUUCUGCGCGUCCGCUCCAGGAUGGGACUGCGUCCGAUCAGGCUGUUGGCGGGGUAAUGGCCCACCAAACCUGUAACCGGUACGGGCCUUGAGAGAGGUGGCCCGGAGAUGGACACUGAGAGAAGGGUCCAGGUCCUACGGGGCGCAGCAGGCGCGAAACCUUCGCAAUGCGCGAAAGCGUGACGAGGUUAAUCCGAGUGGCCUCCGCUGAGGAGGCCUUUUGUCAGCUGUAAAUAGGCGGGCGAAUAAGGGGAGGGCAAGCCUGGUGUCAGCCGCCGCGGUAAUACCAGCUCCUCGAGUGGUCGGGGCGAUUAUUGGGCCUAAAGCAUCCGUAGCCGGUUCCGUAGGUCCUCUGUUAAAUCCACCCGCUCAACGGGUGACCUGCAGAGGAUACCGCGGGACU
RNAcentral lists this ribosomal RNA (517 nucleotides) under uncultured archaeon. RNAcentral's name for it is "bacterial SSU rRNA". It matches the Rfam family "Archaeal small subunit ribosomal RNA", at positions 93 to 593 of the family's 1478-position model. The record is from RNAcentral.